Molecule: ribosomal RNA, 211 nt
Filed under: uncultured bacterium
Lineage: Bacteria
Description: partial 16S ribosomal RNA
Rfam family: Bacterial small subunit ribosomal RNA
Source: RNAcentral
AGUUCGGAUUGUAGGCUGCAACUCGCCUACAUGAAGUCGGAAUUGCUAGUAAUCGCGGAUCAGCAUGCCGCGGUGAAUACGUUCCCGGGCCUUGUACACACCGCCCGUCACACCAUGGGAGUCGGUAACACCCGAAGCCUGUAGUCUAACCGCAAGGAGGACGCAGUCGAAGGUGGGAUUGAUGACUGGGGUGAAGUCGUAACAAGGUACC